RNAcentral lists this ribosomal RNA (280 nucleotides) under uncultured bacterium. RNAcentral describes it as "partial 16S ribosomal RNA". It matches the Rfam family "Bacterial small subunit ribosomal RNA", at positions 338 to 615 of the family's 1533-position model. The record is from RNAcentral.
CCUACGGGGGGCAGCAGUGAGGAAUAUUGCGCAAUGGACGAAAGUCUGACGCAGCCAUGCCGCGUGAAGGAUGAAGGCCCUAUGGGUUGUAAACUUCUUUUGUACGGGAAAAAACGCUCCUACGUGUAGGAGCCUGAUGGUACCGUAAGAAUAAGCACCGGCUAACUCCGUGCCAGCAGCCGCGGUAAUACGGAGGGUGCAAGCGUUAUCCGGAUUUAUUGGGUUUAAAGGGUCCGUAGGCGGGCCGAUAAGUCAGUGGUGAAAGCCCAUAGCUCAACUA